RNAcentral lists this ribosomal RNA (253 nucleotides) under uncultured bacterium. RNAcentral's name for it is "partial 16S ribosomal RNA". It matches the Rfam family "Bacterial small subunit ribosomal RNA", at positions 524 to 776 of the family's 1533-position model. The record is from RNAcentral.
UACGGAGGGUGCAAGCGUUAUCCGGAAUGAUUGGGCGUAAAGCGUCCGCAGGUGGCAGUUCAAGUCUGCUGUCAAAGACCGGGGCUUAACUUCGGAAAGGCAGUGGAAACUGAACAGCUAGAGUAUGGUAGGGGCAGAGGGAAUUCCUGGUGUAGCGGUGAAAUGCGUAGAGAUCAGGAAGAACAUCGAUGGCGAAGGCGCUCUGCUGGACCAUAACUGACACUCAGGGACGAAAGCUAGGGGAGCGAAUGGG